GGCAUAAAUUCCUUAAGAAGUGCUGUGAGGAAACACUCAAGAAGCAGUUUUCGAGAGGAAAAACAAUCACGUUUCCAAGACCCAAGAAAGCUUUUCAAGGAUGUGACAUCAUGUUUCCAUGGCAGUGACUUACAUUUCCCAGUGCUAAAUUAUACAUCUCACCUUUAAAAGCCAUGGACCACACACACAAAAGGUGAAAUGGUCACAAGAAAGAAAGUAAAGUUUGGACCAAGGUGCAGAACAAUGGCCCGGGUGCAAGUGAUUCUCGGUGUGGCUCUUGUCCAAGAGACACAGCGUGGCAAUUCAUUACCCCUGAAGAACUCAGAGGAGCCGGAGUGAUUACCCUCAUCCAUUUCAGACAAUAAUGGCUGCUGAUACGCGGCUUCUCUGCCGUUCAAUUCAACAGGACAGCGUGUCUUGAUAUCCGUGCCAGGAGGUAUUUUGUAAUUACCAGGGAGAGCGCUCUCGUCUGAGUCAGCCGCUUCUGUAGCAUAGUCUGAGCUUCAGUGGGUGAUGUCUGCUGUGGUGUGUGUGUGUGUGUUUGUG
Long non-coding RNA from Carassius auratus (goldfish), 546 nucleotides. RefSeq lists it as uncharacterized. Lineage: Eukaryota; Metazoa; Chordata; Actinopteri; Cypriniformes; Cyprinidae. The transcript has 3 exons. The record is from RefSeq and is a predicted model, not a curated record.